AAUCGAGGCGGGUAGACGAUGCCGCAAAUAAAACGACCACACACUCACUACUACAUCAUUCAUGGAUGAUCAUCAUGCUUGUUUGAGAUCGAGCGGUCGAGUGCCUGUUAUAGCGGGUAUUAUUCGGACCUCGUACUUUUUUCCUCUUCUUCUCUUUCCACCGACGGACUGUGCCCCUCCCGACCGGUAACGCCGCAGCUCAUAACUUGACACCCACACCUGCGUAUUAUAUAUACGCAUACAUUUGGGAUUCAAGAGCGAUUUUGCAGGGGACUGUCACAAAUCACUCCUUGAUUGGGGACCGGGAAUCGCUUGCAUGCCGGCAAAGGUAUUGGAUAUCCUAUCAGAUAAGCCGCAAGUGAGAAGUUACGAAUCCUGACUCCUGAAUCUUACAUGUCUGCUGGCAUCUAACGCGGUCCUCCCUUCCCUUCUUUUUCUUUCCCUUUGCUCCUCACCAUGCCUCGCUCAUGGCGUCAGUGGUCAUGUACAUAUUAAAUAUCGCAUAUCGCACUGCUAUUAUUAUAACCGCAAUCCGCGUGCUGUCUGAUCUCGCUCCGUUCAUCAUGCCCAUGUACCGCUCUCAUUCGGCAUGCAUUCCAUGAU
RNAcentral lists this small RNA (603 nucleotides) under Cryptococcus neoformans H99. RNAcentral's name for it is "Cryptococcus neoformans var. grubii H99 hypothetical RNA". The record is from RNAcentral. Lineage: Eukaryota; Fungi; Basidiomycota; Tremellomycetes; Tremellales; Cryptococcaceae.